GGGGAUUUAGCUCAGCGGUAGAGCGUUUGCCUAGCAAACGCGAGGCCCUGGGUUCGGUCCCCAGCUCCG
Non-coding RNA from Rattus norvegicus (Norway rat), 69 nucleotides. The record is from Rfam. NCBI's taxonomy places the organism in Eukaryota, Metazoa, Chordata, Mammalia, Rodentia, Muridae.